CCCCUAGAUGUUCUGGGCCGCACGCGCGCUACACUGAACAGUUCAACAAGUCUUAACCUUGGCCGAUAGUUCUGGGUAAUCUUUGAACGCUGUUCGUGAUUGGGAUAGACCUUUGCAAUUAUGGGUCUUCAACGAGGAAUUCCUAGUAAACGCAAGUCAUCAGCUUGCAUUGAUUACGUCCCUGCCCUUUGUACACACCGCCCGUCGCACCUACCGAUUGAAUGGUCCGGUGAAAUCUCGGGACGGCGGCUUGGUCGCUUGCGUCCGACUGCUGAAACUUGAUUAAACCAUAUCAUUUAGAGGAAGGUGAAGUCGUANCA
Molecule: ribosomal RNA, 320 nt
Filed under: uncultured eukaryote
Lineage: Eukaryota
Description: partial 18S ribosomal RNA
Rfam family: Eukaryotic small subunit ribosomal RNA
Source: RNAcentral